This 248-nucleotide long non-coding RNA is filed under the name Lathyrus oleraceus (garden pea). Its description in RNAcentral is "Pisum sativum (pea) long non-coding RNA (PSAT_LNC037729)". The record is from RNAcentral. Lineage: Eukaryota; Viridiplantae; Streptophyta; Magnoliopsida; Fabales; Fabaceae.
UCCUCACCCCUAAGCGGUUGACAAAGCCUCUCCUCUGCAGAGCAGGUUCCCUAGUAGAGUUGACAGUAUCCAGACUGUAUAUCCCCAGUAGAGUUGACAGUAUCCAGACUACAUGAAUCCUCACCCCUAAGCGGUUGACAAAGCCUCUCCUCUGCAGAGCAGGUUCCCUAGUAGAGUUGACAGUAUCCAGACUGUAUAUCCCCAGUAGAGUUGACAGUAUCCAGACUGUAUAUCCCCAGCGGAGUCGA